UACAGAGGGUGCAAGCGUCAAUCGGAAUUACUGGGCGUAAAGCGUGCGUAGGUGGUUAGUUAAGUCAGAUGUGAAAGCCCCGGGCUCAACCUGGGAAUUGCAUCUGAUACUGAAUAACUAGAGUAUGGUAGAGGAUGGCGGAAUUUCCGGUGUAGCGGUGAAAUGCGUAGAUAUCGGAAGGAACACCAGUGGCGAAGGCGGCCGUCUGGGCCAAUACUGACACUGAGGCACGAAAGCGUGGGUAGCAAACAGG
Molecule: ribosomal RNA, 253 nt
Filed under: uncultured bacterium
Lineage: Bacteria
Description: partial 16S ribosomal RNA
Rfam family: Bacterial small subunit ribosomal RNA
Source: RNAcentral